This 311-nucleotide ribosomal RNA is filed under the name uncultured eukaryote. Its description in RNAcentral is "partial 18S ribosomal RNA". It matches the Rfam family "Eukaryotic small subunit ribosomal RNA", at positions 592 to 976 of the family's 1831-position model. The record is from RNAcentral.
UAAUAGCGUAUAUUAAAGUUGUUGCAGUUAAAAAGCUCGUAGUUUAUAUAAGGCAAGAGCACUAGCGUGCCUUGCCGCACCCUUUUUAGGGCCUUACUUUGAGAAAAUUAGAGUGUUCAUAGCAGGCAAUUGCCUAUAUCCCAUCAGCAUGGAAUAAAUUUAGACGACGCUGUCUAAACUUGGUCUUUAGCACAGCGUAAUGUAUUAUAGAAGCGGUUGGGGGUAUUUGUAUUUUGUGACGAGCGGUGAAAUGCGUGGAACCACGAAAGACAAACUCUUGCGAAAGCGUCUACCCAGGACGCCUNCUUUAA